GAAGAAAAUCACAGUGACUGUGAAAAGACAAGAUAAUGGUGGGAAUCAAAGACACAGAGCUGACGACUUGGAUUUCUGAGGACUGAGCACACCUUACAACACUUUCCUGUGGAAAAGAAAAUCAGGAGUCCACUGAAUGCUGUGCUGCAGAGCAGAUGUGGAGUGCCGUUGCAUGUGUGCAUCCAGUGAGUACCACAUAAAUGGAUCUUAUUGUCUUGCAGUUAUGCACAUGAGAAGAGUUUUGGCCAACAAGAAGUGAAAAGACAGAAAAUGCCACAAAAGAAA
Austrofundulus limnaeus is the source of this 285-nucleotide long non-coding RNA. RefSeq lists it as uncharacterized. The record is from RefSeq and is a predicted model, not a curated record. The transcript has 3 exons. Lineage: Eukaryota; Metazoa; Chordata; Actinopteri; Cyprinodontiformes; Rivulidae.